CACGUUAUGGUGGGCACUCUAAGGAGACUGCCGGUGGACAAACCGGAGGAAGGUGGGGAGUGACGUCAAGUCAUCAUGGCCCUUACGGCCUGGGCUACACACGUGCUACAAUGGUCGGUACAAAGGGUUGCCAAGCCGCGAGGUGGAGCUAAUCCCAUAAAACCGAUCGUAGUCCGGAUCGCAGUCUGCAACUCGACUGCGUGAAGUCGGAAUCGCUAGUAAUCGUGAAUCAGAAUGUCACGGUGAAUACGUUCCCGGGCCUU
RNAcentral lists this ribosomal RNA (263 nucleotides) under uncultured Pseudomonas sp. Its description in RNAcentral is "partial 16S ribosomal RNA". It matches the Rfam family "Bacterial small subunit ribosomal RNA", at positions 1122 to 1382 of the family's 1533-position model. The record is from RNAcentral. Lineage: Bacteria; Pseudomonadati; Pseudomonadota; Gammaproteobacteria; Pseudomonadales; Pseudomonadaceae.